UACGUAGGGUGCGAGCGUUGUCCGGAAUUACUGGGCGUAAAGGGCUCGUAGGCGGUUUGUCACGUCAGGAGUGAAAACUCGGGGCUCAACCCCGAGCCUGCUUCUGAUACGGGCAGACUAGAGGUAUGCAGGGGAGAACGGAAUUCCUGGUGUAGCGGUGAAAUGCGCAGAUAUCAGGAGGAACACCGGUGGCGAAGGCGGUUCUCUGGGCAUUACCUGACACUGAGGAGCGAAAGUGUGGGGAGCGAACAGG
RNAcentral lists this ribosomal RNA (253 nucleotides) under uncultured bacterium. RNAcentral describes it as "partial 16S ribosomal RNA". It matches the Rfam family "Bacterial small subunit ribosomal RNA", at positions 524 to 776 of the family's 1533-position model. The record is from RNAcentral.